RNAcentral lists this ribosomal RNA (494 nucleotides) under uncultured bacterium. Its description in RNAcentral is "partial 16S ribosomal RNA". It matches the Rfam family "Bacterial small subunit ribosomal RNA", at positions 28 to 507 of the family's 1533-position model. The record is from RNAcentral.
GACGAACGCUGGCGGCGUGCUUAACACAUGUAAGUCGAACGGUGAAGCGCCUUCCUUUUUGGUGGGUGUGGAUGAGUGGCGAACGGGUGAGUAACACGUGAGUAACCUGCCCCCUUCUUCUGGAUAACCGCAUGAAAGUGUGGCUAAUACGGGAUAUUCUGGGUCUGUCGCAUGAUGGGUCUGGGAAAGAUAUUGUUUCGGUGGGGGAUGGGCUCGCGGCCUAUCAGCUUGUUGGUGGGGUGAUGGCCUACCAAGGCGGUGACGGGUAGCCGGCCUGAGAGGGUGGACGGUCACACUGGGACUGAGACACGGCCCAGACUCCUACGGGAGGCAGCAGUGGGGAAUAUUGCACAAUGGGCGCAAGCCUGAUGCAGCGACGCCGCGUGAGGGAUGGAGGCCUUCGGGUUGUGAACCUCUUUCGCCAGUGAAGCAGGCCUGCCUCGUUUGUGGGUGGGUUGACGGUAGCUGGAUAAGAAGCGCCGGCUAACUACGUG